Non-coding RNA from Nothobranchius furzeri (turquoise killifish), 5744 nucleotides. Lineage: Eukaryota; Metazoa; Chordata; Actinopteri; Cyprinodontiformes; Nothobranchiidae. The record is from RefSeq and is a predicted model, not a curated record.
AAAGAGCCACAAUGGUAACUUAUAUAAGGUGUAAGCUAACCAUGUAGCAGCCUUUCACUCGUCAGACUCAUUGGUGAGGAGUUCGUUUACUUCGAUGUGCAAUGCUUUAGUUUUAUAGCGUCAUUCCCUUCGAUGUCACAGCAUCAUGUACGUAUGUAUCAUAGUUUUCACCUUUUUAGAUAAGGGCUUAACAUGGAUAAUGCCGAGCACACGUAGUUUUAUGACUUGCCUUUAGCCAUUGAACACGUGUUAGCUUAAUCACUCAGAACUACUUCCCGAGACUGUUUUAAACUAGUCUGGUUCGUUUGUUGAUUUAAACGAAUCGUGCAAUGAGGCUUGAAUAAAUUUGAGGGUGUGGAUCAAGUCAGUUUAUGGAGAUUAAACAGCUCUGACCAGGUGAGUUAGCCUACUACCGGAUAUUCUCCGUGUUAGCCAGAGCUAGCCAUGUGUAACGAUGUAAAAACCAUGUAAGUAAUUAGAAUCUGAUCUUUCUAAUUGAGUAGAUCUGCUUUAGCUACACGUUGAGUUUUUAAACUAGCUCAAAAACCCCAAAUAUCCACUUUGUGUUUUUUUAGACUAUGCGGUCUGUGGAUGACUGCUGUGCUUGAGCUUCAGUGCACAUCUGUGUAUGAAUGACAAUUUUUCAGGGGACGGCAUCUGAAAGGAUAUUUCUGCAGCACAGAGAAUGCAGUGUGAUUUUUCUGUUUCACCAACAAUGGAUUCCUUAUCAAGGAGCUGACUUCUUCCAUCCUGCAAAGCCACAAACUCCGUCAGAAGACUCCGGUGUGUGAAAAGCUGAAUCUGGUAAUGGGAAGUGUUUUUUUUUUUUUUUUAAGUUUGUUAAGUUUGUUUCAGAAGCUCAGUCCAGCGCUUCUCAAAGAACUUCCUCAUGUUAUGACCGGCUCGACCAAUGUCUGAAUUGUCUUCAUUGAACUUUUCACAGUUAUCAAACACCAAGUUGACGUCAAUGAUGAAAGUCUCCAGGUUUUGAUACCUGAAAAAUAAGAGGAAAGAAAUGAUUUUUUGAUGAUAAAGUACCCACAGCUAAGGCAGCACACUAGAAGAGAAACAUCUCUGGGUUUAAAACAUUUAAAAGCCCUGAAAGCUUUAGGAGUAAAAAGGAAAAACAGAAGCGACGAGAACUCACUGGCUGCUAACAAGCUUCUCACGUAUGGUGGAGAAGUCCAUGGGCUUCUUGAUGACCUUCUUGUAGCCGGGGACUGACUUCAGGUUGACAGGAGUGAGGAACGGCCAUGCAUCCUGAUGCCGCUCCAACUCUGCCAGAAGCACUCUAAUGACACACAGAAACUUUAAGCUACUGCUGGAGUUUUCUUUACAGCGAACUUUUGUGUUUUCAGUUUUUUAAGUAUGUAUGUAUAAAAUGUAUCUGCUGUAAUUCUUGAUGGUUAAAUAAAACACAAAAAAGAAAAACUCAACAAUAAUCCCAGAGACACACACCUGCACAAUCCCAGGUCCCUGUUGUUGUCCCUUGCUGUCUUGGCUCGCUUAACACACACUGGGCUCUCCUGAUUGGCCGGUGUCAGAGCAGGUGAGCUAUCCUCGGUUUUCCUCUUCCUGCUUGUGUCUUUUACUCCUUUCUUGGGUGUGCUGGUGGCACUGGCCGAAUCCUCCUCUGACGCUUCCCCGUUACCCGUUUGCUUCCCGUUCUUUUUGGUCUCCCCCCCUUUUUUACCUCCCCCUCCACUCGAAGUGACUGGUUUAGCUGGAGGCUUUUUGCUCUUCGGGGACGGACCGCUCGCCUGGAAAAUUAAACAAUGAGUUAAAAGUCAAAUAAUACACACAGUAAUAAUUAUUAGUGUUUUUGAAGAAUUCCUAAACUUUUAACUUAUUGGAUUUGAAGUAAACACAGAUGGAGGUAGUUUUAUUAAUAAUUAUUGCCUGAAUUAAAGAAAAAAGCAACAGUUAUUUGACAAAAGGCUGAUUUUAUUCCUGCUAGUGAGAGUGAAUAUAAAAAAAGCUUUAGUUACCGAGGAGAUGCAGGCUGGACAGUACCAGUCUCCUUCUGGGAUGCUGGUGAUUUUGGGUUUGUGACAGUAGGUGUGACACCCUUUGUCACAGCCAUCACACAACAGGAGGAGGUCCUCAUUAUCUCCCUUUUUGCAAAUCUGACAGUACUAAAAAAAAAAAAAAAGCUCUGUCCAUUAAAGCAAACAUACAAUCCCUGAUAAACGUUUAUGCUUAGACUGGAACGUUUUCCUACCACUUUCAUGAUGGAUCUCUCCCAAGCGAUAGACUUCUGCAGCUGCUGGAUGCACAUGGCCAGCUGGGCGGCACUGCGCACCUCAGUCAGGGCCUUCCUCCACACCUUCAUACCGUGGGCCACCUCCUCCUCGCCACUGAGAAAGGACAAGAUGACAAGAAAAGAAUAAAGGGACGCCAACUCACAUAAUAUGUGGGAUUAUUUAAACAUAAGUGUUUGGUAUCAGUUGAAAAGUUGCCAGCAAAACAGCAGACCACUCAGAGUUCUAGUUGUGCAGAAACAGGCAUGAGGAUUGAGGGGUGUAGGGGUGCUGGGGAGGAGUACAAACCAGUUUUAUUACGGUAGGGGGGUGCUCAUGCAGAAAGCAUAAGUCUAAACUGUGUAUUAGAGGUAUGUUUAUAACUGAGGUUACAGAGGCACAACACCAUGCAGAUGACUGGAGGAAAAAAAACUGAAACUGGAACUGAAUGGAGCCCCCCCCCCCCAACACCCAAGAAAACGGCACAAGACCAAAAAAAUGACAACACAAAUGUGACAAGCCACCACAAAAGGUGCUGAAAGCAGCAAAGACCCGUGUCUUAUAGGAAACAUGAAGCACACACAGAGGGAGAAGGGGUCUUAGUGGGACAGUGGGAGCUUUGGUUGGAGAGAUGACCUACCCUUCCCUGUCAGCACUAGUGGAUGGGGCGGGGGCAGGGACAGUGACCGUACCCACAUUAUCCAGCCUGAUCUGAAUGGUGGUACCUAAGGGGCUCCUCAGGUACCUUCUCUCGAUGUUGCGCUCCAGAUCAGCCAGACGUGUCACUGCUAUGUCCAGAGGGUUGUCUGGGUGACGCAUCACCCCGCCCUUCUCCCCGCGCUCCUCUAGAUGCUCCUUGGAGUCCCGGGAGUCCUUGUCUGCUGCGCUUGCUGAGGCUGGUGCUGAUUUGGUGGGGGGCUUGUGCUCGUAGUAGACCAGGUCCUCCCGCUCAGACUGAGGGUCCACAUAUGUCCAGCCCUGAGAUGAAAACAAGCAGUUUGACAACGUUAGCUGGGAUGCUACUGAACACGUGAAAACAGAUUAGUGCUCCGGUCUUGAUCGCUAUUCACCUUGACCUGCAGACUGGCUGCCGUGACCUUCCUCUCUAGCUCCUCAACCUGCUGCAGCAUAGCGAUAUCCAUUUCCAUGGCCUGCUCCUCCACACACCACCCGCGCACAGACUCCACACUGACCUGACUCUCCUCCAGCUCAUGGAGCUCAAUCAUGGCUACUAGAUGAAAAACAUGACAGCUGUCAGUCUGGCAUUGGUUGACUCUGCAGGUGGACUUUCAACUUAAAUGAUAAAGAGGGAUAAUUAUCAGCAUGCCAAUUGAAAGCAGAGUAAACCGUGUUAUUUACCAUCUUUGUGUUUGGUGCAGACCUGAGGAAUUAUCUCCAGAUACUUCUGAAUCUGCCGGUGGAGGACCUUCUCUCGGAUUCCUCGGCUGUGGAGCGAGUCGACCAGAGACCUCAGCUGUUCGAUGUGAGACACCCGCCACCAACCUGUCAGCAAAUCUGAGAAGAAAAACGGCAACAGGCACGUCAGCUAGAGUGCAUUUAAACAUACAUCAGCGUUUUUAGGAGAAACAUUUUACUGAUGGUACUUUACUUUCUCCCAACACCGUUAACCACCUACCCUCUGGGAUGGGCCGAGGCACAGAGUAGUCGAUGGACUUUGGCAUCUCCAAGGCGGGGGAGGGCAUGGACGAGCUUUUCUCGAUGCGAGAGAACAUUUCAACAACUCCACCUUCUCCACUCUCCAUGGCUUCAAUGAAAACUCCUCCGCAGUGUGGCAGAACCCAGUACCGACGGCGGUAGCGGUCCUGUCCGUACAUCAUGGAGCGAAGAGAAUGAGAGAUCUCAAAGAGCUUUUUUCUGGUCUGAUGAUGUUGCUGGAAUGAUAAAAAACAACCAUACUGAUUGUAAAAGGCUCCUACAGAACAAAAGCUCUUCGAUGCUGGUGGCCUGGUCGACUUCAUCCUGAUGGGACAAAUAAUCACAGAAUGUCUGAGAGUAAAAAAACGCCAGUUUUGAGGAUUUAAUAAUAUGUGUGUUUUGGACUUUACCUCCUCAACAGUCUCCACUUUUUUAACCUUUUUAAUUUCUUCCUCCUCCUCGUCGUCGUCCUCAUCUGCUGGGUCAUCACUGUCGUCAUCAUCAUCGUCGUCAUCAUCGCUGUCGGCACCCAGCUUUCUCUUGCGUUUGGCAGCAGAAGACGGCGUGCCGAUGGACUGGUUCUCCUCCGCGCCCAUGCUGGCCUCCCUUUUCCCGGUUCGUUUGGCAUAAAUGGUCCUCAGUCUGCGUAGACACACAGCGGUUUAGUGCCAGACUCGGGUUUUUUAAAGUGCCUUUCAGAAGGAAUACCCCUCACUUUUUCAGUUUUCCCUCCAUGAUAAUUUUGUCUUUCCUCAUGUUUGCCAUCUGAUCCAGGUUCUUGUCGAUCUCACUGCAACAGCAAAGGAAAACCUGUUAAUCAUACUUGUAUUCAUUCAGACCUCUGCCGAUCUCAUGAACAGUAUAAACACAGCACAAUAAAGCUCAAUGUGACUGGAAGCUAUUUAUGACCAACAGGGAAAAAUAGCUGGCGCCUGUGAGCGCGAAUGAUUACAUGUAUAAUUCUCAGAGAAGAACUUCAGCUUUAUUGAUUGUUUUCUGUGGCACAAAUAAAAUAUACAAUUAUUACUUGACAAAUAACCAGAGCAUUAAGUCCUAUAAAGGAACAGAAGCAGUGGAUUCAUAUUUCUCUUUAUUUAUUUGACUCCAGUAGGAAGCAAAAGUUGUGUCAUGCCCUUUUGAACCAAGCAGAGUACAUUUAGCUGUUGCUCCUACCUGAUCACAGCUUUGCUGCAGGCCAGCUCAUUAGCCAGGAACCCCAGGAUUGAUGCCUUCUGAGCAGGUGUGUGAGCCUGGAAGGCUUUGGUCUUGAGACUGAGGGCCAGAGGAGCCAGGUCUGUGUUGGCACAAUGGGAACUCAUAUACAUCUGCAGCACCUCAGAUACGUUAUCUCUGUUGAUGCCGACAUUGGUCAAGUGGUCUCCCAGCAUUGUUUUGGUCUGAUUGAGAAAAAGAAAGACAUUGAAUAAUUAAGCUUAUAUUCUAAUUUAAAGACACUAAACAUUUUUGUCAUCUUUGCAGUUUUGUUGUGAUCUGAUCUUAAUGCUCCUAUUCACUAAUUUCAGUAUUUUAACAAUGGUCUCUAGUGUGAAGCAACAUGUUGUGAGUCGAUCACGUGGUUAGAUCUCUGAUUUCUCCCGGUCACUAACAGCAGCCUUUCCUGUCGUGAACCUAGCAGGCUCACCUUGUGUCCAGGUGGCAAACCGGGAUCGCAGACAGCAAGAGACAGCAGUUUGACUAAAAGGUCUUGAACUUGGCCCAUGCUGUCCCCCACAUUGAGCAAGCCCUCCUGCAGCAUUCCCAGCGUGGGGACAUCCGCAUUCAAGUCAAGUCCUAAAACUUUUCCGAAGCCUCGUAAGAACUGCAUCAGCAUCAGGCAGUCUGACACGG